This is a long non-coding RNA of Ipomoea triloba (trilobed morning glory), 186 nucleotides long. RefSeq lists it as uncharacterized. The transcript is spliced from 3 exons. NCBI's taxonomy places the organism in Eukaryota, Viridiplantae, Streptophyta, Magnoliopsida, Solanales, Convolvulaceae. The record is from RefSeq and is a predicted model, not a curated record.
AGAGGGAACAGUGCACAAAAUUUCUGAACAAGAAUCUGAGCACUACUUCUACAGUCGUCCAAUAGAAAGUCAAAUUGCAGCUUUAGUUAGCAAGCAGAGUAUUGUAAUUCCUAAUCGUCAGACUCUCCACAACGAAUACAAAGAUUUGGAGACCAAGUACUAUGAUGGAAAUGUGAUUCCCAAACC